RNAcentral lists this ribosomal RNA (509 nucleotides) under uncultured bacterium. RNAcentral's name for it is "bacterial SSU rRNA". It matches the Rfam family "Bacterial small subunit ribosomal RNA", at positions 15 to 518 of the family's 1533-position model. The record is from RNAcentral.
GAUCAUGGCUCAGAUUGAACGCUGGCGGCAGGCUUAACACAUGCAAGUCGAGCGGGCGAGGUUGCUUCGGUAACUGAGCUAGCGGCGGACGGGUGAGUAAUGCUUAGGAAUCUGCCUAUUAGUGGGGGACAACAUUCCGAAAGGAAUGCUAAUACCGCAUACGCCCUACGGGGGAAAGCAGGGGAUCUUCGGACCUUGCGCUAAUAGAUGAGCCUAAGUCAGAUUAGCUAGUUGGUGGGGUAAAGGCCUACCAAGGCGACGAUCUGUAGCGGGUCUGAGAGGAUGAUCCGCCACACUGGGACUGAGACACGGCCCAGACUCCUACGGGAGGCAGCAGUGGGGAAUAUUGGACAAUGGGCGCAAGCCUGAUCCAGCCAUGCCGCGUGUGUGAAGAAGGCCUUUUGGUUGUAAAGCACUUUAAGCGAGGAGGAGGCUACUUGGAUUAAUACUCUAGGAUAGUGGACGUUACUCGCAGAAUAAGCACCGGCUAACUCCGUGCCAGCCGCGGC